RNAcentral lists this ribosomal RNA (253 nucleotides) under uncultured bacterium. RNAcentral describes it as "partial 16S ribosomal RNA". It matches the Rfam family "Bacterial small subunit ribosomal RNA", at positions 524 to 776 of the family's 1533-position model. The record is from RNAcentral.
UACGUAGGUGGCAAGCGUUGUCCGGAAUUAUUGGGCGUAAAGCGCGCGCAGGCGGUCCUUUAAGUCUGAUGUGAAAGCCCACGGCUCAACCGUGGAGGGUCAUUGGAAACUGGGGGACUUGAGUACAGAAGAGAAGAGUGGAAUUCCACGUGUAGCGGUGAAAUGCGUAGAGAUGUGGAGGAACACCAGUGGUGAAGGCGACUCUUUGGUCUGGAACUGACGCUGAGGCGCGAAAGCGUGGGGAGCAAACAGG